GACGAACGCUGGCGGCGUGCCUAAUACAUGCAAGUAGAACGCACAGUUUAUACCGUAGCUUGCUACACCAUAGACUGUGAGUUGCGAACGGGUGAGUAACGCGUAGGUAACCUGCCUGGUAGCGGGGGAUAACUAUUGGAAACGAUAGCUAAUACCGCAUAAUAUUAAUUAUUGCAUGAUAAUUAAUUGAAAGGUGCAAUUGCACCACUACCAGAUGGACCUGCGUUGUAUUAGCUAGUAGGUGAGGUAACGGCUCACCUAGGCGACGAUACAUAGCCGACCUGAGAGGGUGAUCGGCCACACUGGGAAUGAGACACGGCCCAGGACCCUUCGGGAAGCAGCAGUAGGGAAACUUCGGCAAUGGACGAAAGUCUGACCGAGCAACGCCGCGGGAGUGAAGGAGGUUUUCGGAUCGGAAAGCUCUGUUGUAAGGGAAGAACGGGUGUGAGAGUGGAAAGUUCACACUGUGACGGUAUCUGACCAGAAAGGGACGGCUAACUACGUG
Molecule: ribosomal RNA, 505 nt
Filed under: uncultured bacterium
Lineage: Bacteria
Description: partial 16S ribosomal RNA
Rfam family: Bacterial small subunit ribosomal RNA
Source: RNAcentral